ACUACGUGCCAGCAGCUGCGGUAAUACGUAGGGUGCGAGCGUUGUCCGGAAUUACUGGGCGUAAAGAGCUCGUAGGUGGUUUGUCGCGUUGUUCGUGAAAUCUCACGGCUUAACUGUGAGCGUGCGGGCGAUACGGGCAGACUAGAGUACUGCAGGGGAGACUGGAAUUCCUGGUGUAGCGGUGGAAUGCGCAGAUAUCAGGAGGAACACCGGUGGCGAAGGCGGGUCUCUGGG
This 234-nucleotide ribosomal RNA is filed under the name Mycobacterium tuberculosis. Its description in RNAcentral is "partial 16S ribosomal RNA". It matches the Rfam family "Bacterial small subunit ribosomal RNA", at positions 500 to 733 of the family's 1533-position model. The record is from RNAcentral. Lineage: Bacteria; Bacillati; Actinomycetota; Actinomycetes; Mycobacteriales; Mycobacteriaceae.